AGAGGACCUGGGGCUGCAGGAGCG
This 24-nucleotide non-coding RNA is filed under the name Cricetulus griseus (Chinese hamster). The record is from RNAcentral. Lineage: Eukaryota; Metazoa; Chordata; Mammalia; Rodentia; Cricetidae.